CUCUUCUUGUUUAAAUAAGAGGUAUAGCCUGCCCAAUGAAGAAUUUAAUGGCCGCGGUAUACUGACCGUGCAAAGGUAGCAUAAUCAUUAGUCUUUUAAUUGAAGGCUGGAAUGAAUGGCUGGACGAGAUAAUAACUAUCUUAUUAUUAUGGAAUUGAAUUUAAUUUUUAAGUAAGAAAGCUUAAAUUAAUUUUUGGGACGAGAAGACCCUAUAGAGUUUAAUAUUAUUUUUGAUUAAUUAUGUUUGUGAAUUAUAUAAUUAUAAUUAAUAUUUUGUUGGGGUGAUAGAAAGAUAAAAGUAACUCUUUAUAUUUAAAAUUAUAUAUUUAUAUUUUUUUUGAUCCACUUUUAGUGAUUAUAAGACUAAAUUACC
Molecule: ribosomal RNA, 373 nt
Filed under: Epilamprinae sp. MNHN BL129
Lineage: Eukaryota; Metazoa; Arthropoda; Insecta; Blattodea; Blaberidae
Description: partial 16S ribosomal RNA
Source: RNAcentral